RNAcentral lists this ribosomal RNA (560 nucleotides) under Streptomyces sp. RNAcentral describes it as "bacterial SSU rRNA". It matches the Rfam family "Bacterial small subunit ribosomal RNA", at positions 261 to 837 of the family's 1533-position model. The record is from RNAcentral. Lineage: Bacteria; Bacillati; Actinomycetota; Actinomycetes; Kitasatosporales; Streptomycetaceae.
GGGGAUCUCAAGGCGAGACGGGUAGCCGGCCUGAGAGGGCGACCGGCCACACUGGGACUGAGACACGGCCCAGACUCCUACGGGAGGCAGCAGUGGGGAAUAUUGCACAAUGGGCGAAAGCCUGAUGCAGCGACGCCGCGUGAGGGAUGACGGCCUUCGGGUUGUAAACCUCUUUCAGCAGGGAAGAAGCGAAAGUGACGGUACCUGCAGAAGAAGCGCCGGCUAACUACGUGCCAGCAGCCGCGGUAAUACGUAGGGCGCAAGCGUUGUCCGGAAUUAUUGGGCGUAAAGAGCUCGUAGGCGGCUUGUCACGUCGGGUGUGAAAGCCCGGGGCUUAACCCCGGGUCUGCAUUCGAUACGGGCUAGCUAGAGUGUGGUAGGGGAGAUCGGAAUUCCUGGUGUAGCGGUGAAAUGCUCAAAUAUCAGGAGGAACACCGCUGGCAAAGGCGGAUCUCUGGGCCAUUACUGACCCUAGGGAGCUAUCCCGCGGGGAGCGAACAGAGAUUAAAUCCCGGGCCGUGCCACACCCCAUGGGGGGAGGUAACCUCUUGGGGCCGUCC